UACGUAGGGUGCAAGCGUUAAUCGGAAUUACUGGGCGUAAAGCGUGCGCAGGCGGUUAUGCAAGACAGAUGUGAAAUCCCCGGGCUCAACCUGGGAACUGCCUUUGUGACUGCAUAGCUAGAGUACGGUAGAGGGGGAUGGAAUUCCGCGUGUAGCAGUGAAAUGCGUAGAUAUGCGGAGGAACACCGAUGGCGAAGGCAAUCCCCUGGACCUGUACUGACGCUCAUGCACGAAAGCGUGGGGAGCAAACAGG
Molecule: ribosomal RNA, 253 nt
Filed under: uncultured bacterium
Lineage: Bacteria
Description: partial 16S ribosomal RNA
Rfam family: Bacterial small subunit ribosomal RNA
Source: RNAcentral